Long non-coding RNA from Harpia harpyja (harpy eagle), 1266 nucleotides. RefSeq lists it as uncharacterized. Lineage: Eukaryota; Metazoa; Chordata; Aves; Accipitriformes; Accipitridae. The transcript is spliced from 2 exons. The record is from RefSeq and is a predicted model, not a curated record.
AGGGUAAGCCAGGAUUAGUACUGCUGAAGAGAAGUGAAAUGUAACUGAUGCGAAGUUAAAGGCACAAACUGAUGAUGACAAGGCCCUUCCAGCCCUGGUGCCAUUAGACAGGGGACUGUGAAGCCUCCCUUCCCCUGCCUGGCUCAUGAGCAGGUGAAGAAGGCUGGAGGGGGCGGAUCUCAGCCAUGGCAGCUGAGCAGACAGAUGUCAGCAUGCUCAGACAGGGAGGAAAAUUGUCUGGUUUUGGGUGGGCUGUUGAAGAAGGACUGGUUUUGCUUCUGUAGUUCUUCUACGUCCUAAAAAAUAUUUGAUUUUUCUAAAAGGACAUUUUCUGUCACAAAGUACCUCCCUGUGGAAAACUUGCAGUCAGUGGUCAUGAAUGAGACAGGGGAUUCCAGGAAAAAGAAAGAAAAUCUGAUGGAGAAGUCUUUCUCUGAAGGACUGGGGUCUGUCCCUGUUUCUGCCGCAAAGCACUGAUGGUUUUGGUUAAGUCAUUUCAAUUAAAAUUUUCAGUCACCAAAUCUCCCUCUUUUUCCAGACACCUGACCUGAGGCCAUUUGCAAAGGCAAUAUAUGUUUACAGCUGUAGAAAAAGCCACCAAGAAUACCUGAAAUGGAUAACAUUCAGUGUAAAAUAUGCUAGAAGUUUGGAUGACAAGUUUUUCAAAUUGGGUUUCCACAAUUACAGACCCUUUUGUAAACUGAGAUUAUCAUCACUUAAUCAUGUCAAAGUUGUUGUGGAAAUAAAUUAAUUCAUAAAUAUGCAAAACCACUUGAUAUUUUAACAAUGACUAUCACAGAAAAAGUUAUAAUGAAAUUACAAGUUGAUCUCCAAGAGCAGUCUGAGAAAGAUGUGUCGGGACUGAUGAGAAAACAGCAUAGCUGCUUAUUAAUUUAAACCAAUCCUAUGGGUAGGUGGUGGGGGGGAGAGGGAAUAGUAUUUGAAUAUGUAAAUACAUCUAUUUUGUGCAGAAAGGGAAUGCAUAGAUAACCUUUUGAUUGUUAACUUUUUAGGGCCUUGCAACUUUAGUAAUGCUUUUUAAUGUAGGAUACAGAGAAACUGAAGGUUGUAACUAGAGUUCCCUAUACCUUCAAAAUACAAUGAAAGAAAGUCUAGUGUUCAUUAUACUGCUCACAGUUUUGAAAGACUUGAAGGCUGUGUAGGAACCAUUGAACUGCUUGUAUUAAAACAGGCUUAUUGUGCUGAUCCCAUAGUGAGCUAGACAGAUAGCUGAAGAAUGUCAAUAAAUAUCUGUUUACAGUUUGA